RNAcentral lists this ribosomal RNA (265 nucleotides) under uncultured prokaryote. Its description in RNAcentral is "partial 16S ribosomal RNA". It matches the Rfam family "Bacterial small subunit ribosomal RNA", at positions 524 to 788 of the family's 1533-position model. The record is from RNAcentral.
UACGUAGGUGGCGAGCGUUAUCCGGAAUUAUUGGGCGUAAAGAGCGCGCAGGUGGUUGAUUAAGUCUGAUGUGAAAGCCCACGGCUUAACCGUGGAGGGUCAUUGGAAACUGGUCAACUUGAGUGCAGAAGAGGGAAGUGGAAUUCCAUGUGUAGCGGUGAAAUGCGUAGAAAUCAGGAGGAAUACCAGUGGCGAAGGCGGCUUUCUGGACUGACCCUGACGCUGAGGUGCGAAAGCGUGGGUAGCAAACAGGAUUAGAUACCCU